GGGGUGUAGCUCAGUGGUAGAGCACUUGCCUAGCAUGUAGGAGGCCCUGAGUUCAAUCCCCAGCACCACCA
This 71-nucleotide transfer RNA is filed under the name Marmota monax (woodchuck). RNAcentral describes it as "tRNA.Ala". It matches the Rfam family "tRNA". Rfam says of the family: Transfer RNA (tRNA) molecules are approximately 80 nucleotides in length. Their secondary structure includes four short double-helical elements and three loops (D, anti-codon, and T loops). Lineage: Eukaryota; Metazoa; Chordata; Mammalia; Rodentia; Sciuridae. The record is from RNAcentral.